UACGUAGGUGACAAGCGUUGUCCGGAUUUACUGGGCGUAAAGAGCGCGCAGGCGGUCGUUCAAGUCGAGUGUGAAAGCCCCCGGCUCAACUGGGGAGGGUCACUCGAUACUGAUCGACUUGAAGGCAGGAGAGGGAAGCGGAAUUCCCGGUGUAGAGGCGAAAUUCGUAGAUAUCGGGAGGAACACCAGUGGCGAAGGCGGCGACCUGGACGGACACUGACGCUGAGACGCGAAAGCGUGGGGAGCAAACAGG
RNAcentral lists this ribosomal RNA (253 nucleotides) under uncultured bacterium. Its description in RNAcentral is "partial 16S ribosomal RNA". It matches the Rfam family "Bacterial small subunit ribosomal RNA", at positions 524 to 776 of the family's 1533-position model. The record is from RNAcentral.